UCCGAGUUGACCCCGGCAGUCUCCCAUGAGUCCCCACCAUUACGUGCUGGCAACAUGGAACGAGGGUUGCGCUCGUUGCGGGACUUAACCCAACAUCUCACGACACGAGCUGACGACAGCCAUGCACCACCUGUGCACGGCCCUUACGGACCCGACAUCUCUGCCGGAUUUCCGUGCAUGUCAAGCCCAGGUAAGGUGGGGAUGACGUUGAACGGUUGGUU
This 221-nucleotide unclassified non-coding RNA is filed under the name uncultured Propionibacteriaceae bacterium. RNAcentral's name for it is "contains 16S-23S intergenic spacer region". Lineage: Bacteria; Bacillati; Actinomycetota; Actinomycetes; Propionibacteriales; Propionibacteriaceae. The record is from RNAcentral.